GAUUGUAGGCNGCAACUCGCCUAUAUGAAGUUGGAAUUGCUAGUAAUCGCGGAUCAGCAUGCCGCGGUGAAUACGUUCCCGGGGCCUUGUACACACCGCCCGUCACACCAUGAGAGCCGGUAAUACCCGAAGUCAGUAUCCUAACCGCGAGGGGGGAGCUGCCGAAGGUAGGAUUGGCGAUUGGGGUGAAGUCGUAACAAGGUACC
Molecule: ribosomal RNA, 206 nt
Filed under: uncultured bacterium
Lineage: Bacteria
Description: partial 16S ribosomal RNA
Rfam family: Bacterial small subunit ribosomal RNA
Source: RNAcentral